RNAcentral lists this ribosomal RNA (491 nucleotides) under uncultured bacterium. RNAcentral describes it as "partial 16S ribosomal RNA". It matches the Rfam family "Bacterial small subunit ribosomal RNA", at positions 29 to 506 of the family's 1533-position model. The record is from RNAcentral.
AGUGAACGCUGGCGAUAGGCCUAACACAUGCAAGUCGAACGGCAGCACAGUAAGAGCUUGCUCUUACGGGUGGCGAGUGGCGGACGGGUGAGGAAUACAUCGGAAUCUACUUUUUCGUGGGGGAUAACGUAGGGAAACUUACGCUAAUACCGCAUACGACCUACGGGUGAAAGCAGGGGAUCUUCGGACCUUGCGCGAUUGAAUGAGCCGAUGUCGGAUUAGCUAGUUGGCGGGGUAAAGGCCCACCAAGGCGACGAUCCGUAGCUGGUCUGAGAGGAUGAUCAGCCACACUGGAACUGAGACACGGUCCAGACUCCUACGGGAGGCAGCAGUGGGGAAUAUUGGACAAUGGGCGCAAGCCUGAUCCAGCCAUACCGCGUGGGUGAAGAAGGCCUUCGGGUUGUAAAGCCCUUUUGUUGGGAAAGAAAAGCAGCAGGUUAAUACCCCGCUGUUCUGACGGUACCCAAAGAAUAAGCACCGGCUAACUUCGG